CAAAGCGAUAAAAAAAAAAAUACCCCUGAGAUAAGUUUAAGUUACUGAAAUGUAUGUGGGAGUAGCCCUUUGUGUGUGUGUGUGUGCGUGCGUGGGUGGGUGGGUGUGUGGGUGUGUCUCGUGUACCUGAAGGAGAGGAGCGGGUGACGUUCACUGUGUGAGUGCAGUGCUCCAGAUAGACUGGCAGCAGGAUGAGACUCAGAGGAACCACUACCAGGCCCUGCUCACUGUCAUCAGGACUGUCCAGCUCAUGGAGGGCUCCAGCAUCAUGACCACCUGUUGCCUCCCUGCUGGUAACACAGGAGGGUCUGCGUCCCAAAUGGCACCUUAUCCCUUUAUUGUGCACAACUUUUGACCAAAGACCUAUGGGCCUUGGUCAAAAGUAGUACUUUAAAUAGGGUGCCAUUUGGGAUGCAUACAAGGGUUAGCCUAGUGGCAAGAGUGAGGGCAGAAGCAAGAGGAGGAAGUGGGAGCUCAAAGAUAAGUACCAGUACUCUCCUCAGAAAGUUGAGUUCUGUUACCUUUGGGUCCAGCACUGGCCCCCUCCCAGUCCUGCCCAUCCUCCCAUCCAAGAGCCUGCCCAGCCUGGACAUCAAGAGAAAGAAAAUGCCCUGGAUGUACAUGGCCAAGCAGAAAUUAUACCAGUUCACUCAGAAUGAGGUCACGGGGAAAGAGAGUCGUGGAGUGACAGCGCCCUCUAGUGCUCCCACUGCUCCAGAGCAGCAGGUGGGAAGGACGAGGGAGGCUCUGGCUCACUGGCAGGCCUGUACUGAGCCUCUCACUGAGGAGACCUGAGCCCUGCUGCCCUUAGAGGACGUCAGGAUGGAAGGCUUAAUCCACCUGCACUACAGGAAUACCAAUCUGUACGACCUUCCAUUUCAAACCUUGGCUUUGAAGUACCCCAAGAUGGCUGUGGAGGAGAUCAGUAAAACUCAUAGUC
This is a non-coding RNA of Salvelinus sp. IW2-2015, 940 nucleotides long. The record is from RefSeq and is a predicted model, not a curated record. Lineage: Eukaryota; Metazoa; Chordata; Actinopteri; Salmoniformes; Salmonidae.